CAGGAAUUUCCUGAAUACCAGUUAAAUGAAUUAACUGUACAACUAUCCUUCCUUAGUGUGAGUUCAGCCAUAUGUUCCCUCUUCUUCCAGGAGGUACUCUGCCUCCAUGGCUUUUCUGUCUGGCUUGGUUCUUUCCCAGCUUUCCCCUUGCCCUGUAGGUGAGGGUGGCAACUGGUCAGUACACAUGACUGUUCUGUCAGACUGUGAUGAAAGUAGAUGUCCACUCCAACUGACUUCUGUUAUUUGGAUAAUUUGAGCAUGGACAAUGAGCAGUAUUAAAUCAAGAGCCACUGAAUGUCGUGAUAACCCUGCUAUAAUAAAUCAAGAUGCGCUAGUCA
RNAcentral lists this long non-coding RNA (338 nucleotides) under Crocodylus porosus (Australian saltwater crocodile). Its description in RNAcentral is "lncRNA (ENSCPRG00005006476.1)". The record is from RNAcentral. Lineage: Eukaryota; Metazoa; Chordata; Crocodylia; Crocodylidae.